This 254-nucleotide ribosomal RNA is filed under the name uncultured bacterium. RNAcentral's name for it is "partial 16S ribosomal RNA". It matches the Rfam family "Bacterial small subunit ribosomal RNA", at positions 524 to 776 of the family's 1533-position model. The record is from RNAcentral.
UACGUGGGUGGCAAGCGUUGUCCGGAAUUAUUGGGCGUAAAGCGCGCGCAGGCGGCCUCUUAAGUCUGAUGUGAAAGCCCCCCGGCUCAACCGGGGAGGGCCAUUGGAAACUGGGAGGCUUGAGUAUAGGAGAGAAGAGUGGAAUUCCACGUGUAGCGGUGAAAUGCGUAGAGAUGUGGAGGAACACCAGUGGCGAAGGCGACUCUUUGGCCUAUAACUGACGCUGAGGCGCGAAAGCGUGGGGAGCAAACAGG